GACGAACCGUGCGAACGUUGUUCGGAAUCACUGGGCGUAAAGGGCGCGUAGGCGGCCUUGCAAGUCGGUUGGUGAAAGCCCGGGGCUCAACCUCGGAACUGCCUUCGAUACUGCGGGUCUCGAGUCCGGGAGAGGUGAGUGGAAUUCCUAGUGUAGAGGUGAAAUUCGUAGAUAUUAGGAAGAACACCAGUGGCGAAGGCGGCUCACUGGCCCGGUACUGACGCUGAGGCGCGAAAGCGUGGGGAGCAAACAGG
RNAcentral lists this ribosomal RNA (254 nucleotides) under uncultured bacterium. RNAcentral's name for it is "partial 16S ribosomal RNA". It matches the Rfam family "Bacterial small subunit ribosomal RNA", at positions 524 to 776 of the family's 1533-position model. The record is from RNAcentral.